GUGGGGAAUCUUAGACAAUGGGCGCAAGCCUGAUCUAGCCAUGCCGCGUGAGUGAUGAAGGCCCUAGGGUUGUAAAGCUCUUUCAGCUGGGAAGAUAAUGACGGUACCAGCAGAAGAAGCCCCGGCUAACUCCGUGCCAGCAGCCGCGGUAAUACGGAGGGGGCUAGCGUUGUUCGGAAUUACUGGGCUUAAAGCGCGCGUAGGCGGACUGAAAAGUUGGGGGUGAAAUCCCGGGGCUCAACCUCGGAACUGCCUUCAAAACUAUCAGUCUGGAGUUCGAGAGAGGUGAGUGGAAUUCCGAGUGUAGAGGUGAAAUUCGUAGAUAUUCGGAGGAACACCAGUGGCGAAGGCGGCUCACUGGCUCGAUACUGACGCUGAGGUGCGAAAGCGUGGGGAGCAAACAGGAUUAGAUACCCGGGUAGUCC
This 425-nucleotide ribosomal RNA is filed under the name uncultured bacterium. Its description in RNAcentral is "partial 16S ribosomal RNA". It matches the Rfam family "Bacterial small subunit ribosomal RNA", at positions 354 to 796 of the family's 1533-position model. The record is from RNAcentral.